RNAcentral lists this ribosomal RNA (243 nucleotides) under Staphylococcus aureus. RNAcentral's name for it is "partial 23S ribosomal RNA". It matches the Rfam family "Bacterial large subunit ribosomal RNA", at positions 2682 to 2925 of the family's 2925-position model. The record is from RNAcentral. Lineage: Bacteria; Bacillati; Bacillota; Bacilli; Caryophanales; Staphylococcaceae.
UACGAGAGGACCGGGAUGGACAUACCUCUGGUGUACCAGUUGUCGUGCCAACGGCAUAGCUGGGUAGCUAUGUGUGGACGGGAUAAGUGCUGAAAGCAUCUAAGCAUGAAGCCCCCCUCAAGAUGAGAUUUCCCAACUUCGGUUAUAAGAUCCCUCAAAGAUGAUGAGGUUAAUAGGUUCGAGGUGGAAGCAUGGUGACAUGUGGAGCUGACGAAUACUAAUCGAUCGAAGACUUAAUCAAAA